ACGCUGGCGGCGUGCUUAACACAUGCAAGUCGAACGAACCUUCGGGUUAGUGGCGGACGGGUGAGUAACGCGUGAGAAUCUGCCCUCAGGAGGGGGAUAACGGUUGGAAACGACCGCUAAUACCCCAUAUGCCUACUGGUGAAAUGAAUUUCGCCUGAGGAUGAGCUCGCGUCUGAUUAGCUAGUUGGUGAGAUAAUGGCUCACCAAGGCUUCGAUCAGUAGCUGGUCUGAGAGGAUGAUCAGCCACACUGGGACUGAGACACGGCCCAGACUCCUACGGGAGGCAGCAGUGGGGAAUUUUCCGCAAUGGGCGAAAGCCUGACGGAGCAACGCCGCGUGAGGGACGAAGGCCUCUGGGCUGUAAACCUCUUUUCUCAAGGAAGAAGAUAUGACGGUACUUGAGGAAUAAGCCACGGCUAAUUCCGUGCCAGCAGCCGCGGUAAUACGGGAGUGGCAAGCGUUAUCCGGAAUUAUUGGGCGUAAAGCGUCCGCAGGCGGCUUUUCAAGUCUGCUGUUAAAGCGUGGAGCUUAACUCCAUCAUGGCAGUGGAAACUGAAAGGCUUGAGUAUGGUAGGGGCAGAGGGAAUUCCCGGUGUAGCGGUGAAAUGCGUAGAUAUCGGGAAGAACACCAGUGGCGAAGGCGCUCUGCUGGGCCAUUACUGACGCUCAUGGACGAAAGCCAGGGGAGCGAAAGGGAUUAGAUACCCCUGUAGUCCUGGCCGUAAACGAUGAACACUAGGUGUCGGGGGAAUCGACCCCUUCGGUGUCGUAGCUAACGCGUUAAGUGUUCCGCCUGGGGAGUACGCACGC
Molecule: ribosomal RNA, 810 nt
Filed under: uncultured cyanobacterium
Lineage: Bacteria; Bacillati; Cyanobacteriota
Description: bacterial SSU rRNA
Rfam family: Bacterial small subunit ribosomal RNA
Source: RNAcentral